UCACAAUCAAGAUAUAUUUCUUUAUGGAAAAAUUUUGUACAAUUACAGAUAAAAGAACAAGGAGGGUUUCAGAAAAUAGGUCAUUCUAGCAUCACAAAAUAUUUCAAUUGUACUAAAAAGGUAGUAUUGAGUUUCAUACUAAAUUUGGACGUCUUUAAGUUGAAAAAAGUUUAUUUGCUAAAACAGAAGUAUCCAUUGUCUCAUUAAGCUUCAAAACAGAAGAUAUAUGAUAACUCCAGGGAUGCCCUCCAUUUUUUGAAUGCAUUUUGUUGCUACUAUUUGGAAAAAAAUGCUAUAGCACUUUGAUAAAAUAUUGGCUUGGCUUGACUCAGUAAAUCAUUAGUUUGAGGUUUUCCACACACAUUAUUUUCAGGUGAACAAAAUCUUCUGCCAAAGCGUAUUGAGAGAAGGCAGUUUGCAUACGCAAAAAAAAAAAAAAAACCAAAAGUCAAUCAAAUUUUGUUUCAGUGACCUUCCAUUUGCAUAUUCGUGGAUCAUUGGACAUGAGAUUUACUUUAAACGUUCAUAAGAAUUAUGAGGUUCAAAAGAAAUAUAAUAAAAAUAUAAAGCUAGAGAUGAUGUGCAUCACUGCAGAGCAAAGUUACAUAAUCUGAUUGAAGUCAAAGUGUAAAAAUAAAUGCAUGUAAAUGCACCUUUAAUGAUCGAUCAUUUUAUGUAUUAUUUAGUGGAUUUCAAUGGUAUGUGUUAAAUAGUUCAGUUUUUGCUACCUACACGUUAGCCAAAAGAGAUGUAAAUACUUUUGAAUAGAAAAGAGGGUACACUGUAAAGUACUGCUAUCUAUAGGUACUCCAUUUCAAUUGUUCAACAUACUUUUAAAAUGCAAGGUUUCACCAUGCAGGUGAUAAGGUGGUUUAUGUGCUAUUUAAGGGCAGAAGGUGUGUGCCCAUUCACUAAGCAUGUUCUUUGCCAGAUAGUAAAUUUCUCCAUCUCUGUAUUUAUCACUGCAUUUCAGAUGGGAACUAGAGAACUGGAGACAAAAUGUAAAUGGAAUUGCUGCUGUAAAUUAUUUCUUUUAGCAUGUAUUCAGUUGUUAAAUACACAUUUCUUCAAAAUAUUGGAAUUUGGAUGUCUUUACUCUUCCCACCAGCAUCUAGUGUGAAAGAAGACAAGCUGGAAGGGUCUUUCAGAUCAAGACUAAUGAUGCUAAAGAAAUCAGCACAUUGACUUCCCUCAGUGUAGUUAUACUUGAGAGGUGCUCAUUGUGAUAAUGUGACAUGUGUGUAUUUUUUCUCAACUGAAAUUUAAAUUCAACAUCCAUUGUAUAUUAUGUGAUUGAAAUUCUAUGAAGAUUUUUGUCAUAAUUAUGAACAAUUUUUGUUUUCUGGAGCCCUUACAAGAGACAGUCAAUUGAAAAAUCUUAUUCCUCAAUUUGAUAUAUGGCUACUAAGUGUGGAACAAUCAUCAUUUUUUUAAGAGUACCUACAAAAUAUAGUCUUGUUUAAACACAAACCGUAUCUUUCUUAAGACAAAAGUCCUAUUCUUUUUGUGUAAGGUUUAAUGAAAAAAUUUGUUUGACUUAAAAUAGUAUGUAAAACAUUAGAAGUUUUUUUUAAUGAAGAUAUGUGCUACUUAAAAUAAAUGGC
Sarcophilus harrisii (Tasmanian devil) is the source of this 1604-nucleotide long non-coding RNA. The record is from Ensembl. NCBI's taxonomy places the organism in Eukaryota, Metazoa, Chordata, Mammalia, Dasyuromorphia, Dasyuridae.